Molecule: long non-coding RNA, 5079 nt
Organism: Ornithorhynchus anatinus (platypus)
Lineage: Eukaryota; Metazoa; Chordata; Mammalia; Monotremata; Ornithorhynchidae
Exons: 3
Source: RefSeq, a predicted model, not a curated record
GAGGUGAGAAAGGAGAAAUCUGCUUCACGCAGAAACAUCUCCUGUUCCUUCCUCCACUGGAGGUCUUCAAGGCCUCCGCAAAGCCAGUGAAUAGAGAAUCUUGGUGGUGAAAAGGAGGAAUUUGCUUCAUGCAAAAAGCCCUGCUUUUCUUUCUCUCCCUAAGGUCUUCAGGGCCUGAGAAGAGAAUAUUUGAGGUGAGAAAGGAGAAAUCUGCUUCACGCAGAAACAUCUCCUGUUCCUUCCUCCACUGGCGGUCUUCAAGGCCUCUGAAAAGCCAGUGAAUAGAGAAUCUUGGUGGUGAAAAGGAGGAAUUUGCUUCAUGCAAAAAGCCCUGCUUUUCUUUCUCUCCCUAAGGUCUUCAGGGCCUGAGAAGAGAAUAUUUGAGGUGAGAAAGGAGAAAUCUGCUUCACGCAGAAACAUCUCCUGUUCCUUCCUCCACUGGCGGUCUUCAAGGCCUCUGAAAAGCCAGUGAAUAGAGAAUCUUGGUGGUGAAAAGGAGGAAUUUGCUUCAUGCAAAAAACCUGCUUUGCUUUCUCUCCCUAAGGUCUUCAGGGCCUGAGAAGAGAAUAUUUGAGGUGAGAAAGGAGAAAUCUGCUUCACGCAGACACAUCUCCUGUUCCUUCCUCCACGGAAGGUCUUCAAGGGCUAUGAAAAGACAAUGAAUAGAGAAUCUUGGUGGUGAAAAGGGGGAAAUUUGCUUCAUGCAAAAAAAUCCUGCUUUUCUUUCUCUCCUGGAGGUCUUCAGGGCCUGAGAAGAGAAUUUCUGAGGCGAGGAAGGAGAGGUUUGCUUCAUGCAGAAACAUCUCCUGUUCAUUCCUCCAGUUGAGGCCUUCACGGCCUUUUAAUGGGGAAUCUUGGAGGUGAAAAACGCGGAAAUUUGCUUCAUGCAAUCUUCUGCUUCUGUAUCUCUCUGCCAGAGGUCUUCAAGGCCUGGAAAGAGAAUGUUGGUGCUGAAAAAGGAGUUUUCUUGGUGCCAUCUCCUGCUGGAGUUUCUCCACCUAAGGUCUUCAGGGCCUUAGAAGAGGCUAUUUCCAGUGGAAUAAAGGAGACAUUUGCUUCAUGCAGAUGGAGCUCCUGCGGAGUACCUCACCUCAGGCCUCUAAGGCCUUUUAGUUGAGAAUGGAUAAAGACUAUCGGAGGUGCAAAUGGAGGAAUUUGCUUCAUGCAAACCAUCCCCAGCUUCUCCUUCUCUGUGUAAGGUCUUCAUGGCCUCCAAGGAGAAUAGCCGAGAUGGAAAAGGAGAACUUGGCUUUAUGCCAACCAUCUCCAGCUUCUAUGUGUUUUUCGAAGGUAGUCAAGGCCAGGAAAGAGAACAUUUGCAGUGAAAACGGAGUAAGGGGCUUUAUGCGGACAAUCUCCAGGUUUUAUUUCUCCAAGGUCUUCAGGGCCUCCGGAGGAAAUAUUUCGGGCUUCAAAGGAGCAGUUUGCUUCAUGCAAACCAUCUCCUGCUUUCACUUGACUCCCUAAGGUCUUCAAGACCUGAAAAGAGAAAAUUUGAGUUGGGAAAGGAGAACUUUGCUCCCCGCAAACAAUCGCCUACAUGUAUUUCUCUCUGUAAGGUCUUCAAGGCCGCAAAAGAGAAUUUCGGAGGCGAAAACGGAGAGAUUUGCUUCAUGCAAAACCAUCUCCUACUUUCAUUUCUCUCCCGAGGGUCUUCAAGACCUGAAAAGAGAAUAUUUGAGUUGGCAAAGGAGCUAUCUGCUUCAUGCGAAACCAUCUCCUACUUUUAUUUCUCUCCCUAAGGUCUUCGAGACCUGAAAUGAGAAUAUUUGAUAUAUCACAAGGAGACGUCGGCUUCCCACUUUCAUUUCUCUACCGAAGGUCUUCCGGACUAGGAAAAAAAAAUAGAUAUUUCUUUGCAACAAGGACAAGUUUUCUUCAUGCAAGCAAUCUCCUGCCUUUGUUUCUCUCCCUGUGGGCCGGAAAGCGUGAUAUAUGGGCUUAAAGAAGGAGAAAUCUGCUUCAUGCAAAGACCCUCCCAAUGAUCUGCCUAAGGUCUUCAAGACCUGAAGAGCAAAUAUAAGCCCGGGAAAGGGAGACAUUUGCUUCAUGCAGAAACAUCUCCUGGGCCAUUUCAGGUCCAUUUCAGGUCUUCAAGGCCUCUUAAUAAAGAAUGAAGAGAGGAUAUUGCAAUGGAAAAAGGAGGAAUUCACAUGUACACAACCCUAUCCACAAGGUCCCACUUUCAUUUCUUUACCCUCAGGUCUGCAAGGCCAGAGAAGAGAAUAUGUGGGUUGAAAAAGAGAAAUUUGCUUCUGUUGGACCAAUCUCCUUUUCGUUAUGCCACUUCUCACCUUUAAGGUGUUUUAACUGAGGAUGAAUGGAGAAUAUCCGCUGUGCAACUCAAAUCAUUUCCUUCAUGGGAAACAAAUAUACCCCUCUUACUUCCCUCCCUACGGAUUUCAAGGCCUGGGAAGAGAAUACAUAUGAGCCAGAAAGGCUUCAUGCCAAAAAAAAGUUACCAUCUGUUACUCCACCUAAGGCCUACAAGGCCGUUCAUUUGAGAGGUUCGAGAGACUCCGCAAGGCGGAAGAGGAGAAAGGUACUUGAGACGAACAAUCUCCUGCUUGAAUUGGUCUACCCGAUGCCUUUCAAAGCAUGACGAGAGAACAGAUGAGAUUGAAAGAGGAGAAAUUUGCUUCAUACAGAAACUCACCUGAUGGUUUUUCGACUUAGGGUCUUCAAGGCCUGAAGAGAAAAUAGAUGAUCUGGAAAAGGAGAAACGUGCUUGAUUUAGACACCUCUGCUGGGCCUGAGUCCACCUCAGGCCUUCAAGGCCUCUGAAUUGAGAGUGAGGUGAGAUUAUGUGAGGUGAAAAAGGAGAAGGUUGCUUCAUGCCAAGAGCCCAGUGGCCUUAUUUCUCUAGCCGCAGGUCUUCAAAGGCCUGCAAAAGGAAUAGUGGAGGUGGAGAAAGAGAACUUUGCUUUCUGCAUAAACUCUCCCGUCAUUGUAGCCACCUUUGUUCUACCAGACCUGAAGAGGGAAUAGAUGAGCUGGAAAAGGAGAAAUUUUCUUCAUACACAAAUGUCUCCUAAACGUAAGCCUGUAUCUGCAGGCUUCGAGGCCUUUUAAGGGGUGAAAGAACAAGGAAUAUUGGAGGUGGAAAAGGAGAAAUUUGCUUCAUGCAAAAAUUAUCCUGUUAAUUUGUCUGCCUAAGGUCUUCAAGACCUGAAGACAAAAUAGAAGAGCUGGAAAAGGAGACAUUGGUUGCUUCAUGCACAGUUCUCCUGCUUUUCUCUUACCUAAGGGCUUGAAUGACUGAAAAGAGAAUGUUUGGAGGUAGAAAAGGAGAUAUUUGCUUUAUGCCCAAAAUUGUUAGGCUUGAAUAUCUCUAACCCAGAGAGAGAGGACUAACUGGAGUGCCAAAAAACAGAGGAUAGAUUCAUACGCAGUCUGACUGGCUCCAUGCAAAAAUCUAACCGUUGGCUCUCCUGAGCUGUCUUUAAGCCCCAGCCCUGGUCUUUAUGGCUGGGGGUGUUGGGGAGAGAGAGCCAAGAGGUAAGAAUGGGGUUGAAGAGCUUCCUGCUAAUUCCCCCUAAGAAUCCCCAAAAGGGUUUUCACUCUUAUCCUUCCACUCUGCCUGCUCUGCCCUCUCAACCACGGACCAAGUCAUCCAACCUCUCUGUGCUACCUAACCAGCUCCUGCGUGCUAAGAGCUGCGAUGGUUUCGUGUGGAAAGGAUGGAGAAGGAAAGAGGGUCAGCCAGCAGCACUCAAGCAAGGCUCCGUAGACUGUUCCCCUCUAGAAGAAUCGAGAAUGAAGGACCGUCGGAUGACUGUUGGGUUUGGAGCAGAAAAUCCGGUUACCGGUUAAGAGGAAACUGUGUUGGAGCCAAGGCUCAGCCUUGAGCCUCUGGUCCAGGAUUUGCGGGGGAGAGAUGAAAGAAAAUUUGGGGUGGAGGAGGAGGGAUUUUGCUGCUGCGAUUUGACCAUGUGAAUAAAUUGUCCAGUUGUAUGGGGAAACAAAUUUGGAAAUUCUGUAGUGUUGAGUCAGGAUUACAAUUUCAAACCUGUAACGAUGAAAGCAAAACAGAGAGAACUCCUUGUCUUUCUCUGAAUCCUGGUUGACCGACACUAUGUCCAAUGGAAUGGGACUUUUCUCCCCUUCAGCUGAUAUAAAACAACGAAAACAUUUAUGCAAUCCAUCACGCCAACAUUUCAAAGUCAAUAAAAUAGCUAAAUAAAAUAAAAACUAAAAAUGUAGGACAAUCAAAUACAAUAAAAUAGUUUAAACUAAAAAUUAAUCUUAAAAUCACUGACAUAUAAAAUGACCGACAUAUAAAUCGAUGCACCGCUCAUUCCAUUGAACGUAGACGUCUGGGAUAUCUUAGGAUAGAAUAAAAAUACCAUGCAUUUGAAGACCAAAAGCAGCAAGGUUAAUCUCUCUGCCUUUUUUUUCUAAGGUGUUUAGGCGAAUGGCUUUCUGAACGCCAACUGACUGUAACACUAUAGACCCACUCCAAAGCUCCAAGGGAAAAUUCAGUGCAAUUUCAAGGCCGUUUUCCUUGGUACGCUUUGUUUAGGGCUAUCUGAGUAAUUGAGUACUUUUUCCUCGAGAUUUGGAAUCUGUCCAGAUUUGGGGGGCUGCUACUCUGGACUGGAUCUUGCCUGUCUGUGGUAAGCACUGGUAGGAGCAGAGGUAAGUGCCAGCCGGGAAGGGAGAGAUCUCCUAAUCGCCCUGAGGGGCUGGUUCAAGGGCUAUCCCCAGGGUGGCCCUGGGAGCGGGCAGGUGUUGCCUCGAUGAAUGUCAGUGCAUUUACCACCCGCUUUAGCUUUUCCAUUUUAAAAUCUGCUGGUAGGAUUUUUGUUGCCCACAUACAGCAAGGAGAGAAUCAGUGUUGGUCGCUGCGGCGGAAGAAAUGAAGUAAAGGUGCAGCGGUCCCAAGAAGGAGACUUGGCAUGCUGGGGUCUGCCAUCUUAGGCGUGGCCCACCGUCCCUGCGAUCCCAUCUUGCAGCGCGGGGGAGCAGGGGCGGCCCGGUGAGAGGGACCCGGGAAGGAGCGAGGUGCCCCACCAGGCCCGAGGAGGUGGGAUGGAGGGUCUGAGCCCACUGCAGCACUGCCACUCGGUGCCCCCUGAU